GAUGAACGCUGGCGGCGUGCUUAACACAUGCAAGUCGAACGAUGAAGCCCAGCUUGCUGGGUGGAUUAGUGCGAACGGGUGAGUAACACGUGAGUAACCUGCCCUUGACUCUGGGAUAAGCCUGGGAAACUGGGUCUAAUACUGGAUAUGACUUCUCAUCGCAUGGUGGGGGGUGGAAAGAUUUAUUGGUCUUGGAUGGACUCGCGGCCUAUCAGCUUGUUGGUGAGGUAAUGGCUCACCAAGGCGACGACGGGUAGCCGGCCUGAGAGGGUGACCGGCCACACUGGGACUGAGACACGGCCCAGACUCCUACGGGAGGCAGCAGUGGGGAAUAUUGCACAAUGGGCGCAAGCCUGAUGCAGCGACGCCGCGUGAGGGAUGACGGCCUUCGGGUUGUAAACCUCUUUCAGUAGGGAAGAAGCGAGAGUGACGGUACCUGCAGAAGAAGCGCCGGCUAACUACGUG
RNAcentral lists this ribosomal RNA (465 nucleotides) under uncultured bacterium. Its description in RNAcentral is "partial 16S ribosomal RNA". It matches the Rfam family "Bacterial small subunit ribosomal RNA", at positions 28 to 507 of the family's 1533-position model. The record is from RNAcentral.